Molecule: ribosomal RNA, 433 nt
Filed under: uncultured bacterium
Lineage: Bacteria
Description: partial 16S ribosomal RNA
Rfam family: Bacterial small subunit ribosomal RNA
Source: RNAcentral
AACGAACGCUGGCGGCAUGCCUAACACAUGCAAGUCGAACGAGACCUUCGGGUCUAGUGGCGCACGGGUGCGUAACGCGUGGGAACCUUCCCUUAGGUUCGGAAUAACUCCCCGAAAGGGGUGCUAAUACCGGAUAAUGUCUUCGGACCAAAGAUUUAUCGCCUUUGGAUGGGCCCGCGUUGGAUUAGCUAGUUGGUAGGGUAAAAGCCUACCAAGGCGACGAUCCAUAGCUGGUCUGAGAGGAUGAUCAGCCACACUGGGACUGAGACUCGGCCCAGACUCCUACGGGAGGCAGCAGUGGGGAAUAUUGGACAAUGGGCGAAAGCCUGAUCCAGCAAUGCCGCGUGAGUGAUGAAGGCCUUAGGGUUGUAAAGCGCUUUUAACCGGGAUGAUAAUGACAGUACCGGGAGAAUAAGCUCCGGCUAACUCCGUG